GGGCGCUUAGCUCAGUUGGCUAGAGCAUCUCGUUUACACCGAGGGGGUCGGGGGUUCGAGUCCCUCAGCGCCCACCA
Molecule: transfer RNA, 77 nt
Filed under: Candidatus Saccharibacteria bacterium RIFCSPHIGHO2_12_FULL_47_17
Lineage: Bacteria; Candidatus Saccharimonadota
Also listed under: 1 other name
Description: tRNA-Val
Rfam family: tRNA
About the family: Transfer RNA (tRNA) molecules are approximately 80 nucleotides in length.
Source: RNAcentral